Molecule: long non-coding RNA, 2358 nt
Organism: Haplochromis burtoni (Burton's mouthbrooder)
Lineage: Eukaryota; Metazoa; Chordata; Actinopteri; Cichliformes; Cichlidae
Exons: 3
Source: RefSeq, a predicted model, not a curated record
UACAACUUGCCUAAUAAUUCUGCACUCCCUGUAUGUCCUCCUCCACCACAUCCAUGAAUAUUCUCUAUGGUCAUUCUCCUUUCCUCCUGUCUGGCAUCUUCAGCAUCCAUUGUCAAAUAUAUCCACUAUCCCUCCUCUACACAUGUCCAAGCCAUCUCAGCUGUCUCUCUCUGACUUUGUCUCCAAACCACUCAACCUGAGCUGUCCCUCUGAUGGAAUUAUUUGUAAUCCUACCCAUCCUGGUCACUCCUAGUGAAUUUUACCAUCUUCAACUCAGCCACGUCCAGCUCUGCCCUCUGUCUUUUUAAGGAUACCACUGUUUCCAUACAAUACAUCAUGGCAGAUCUCAAUACUAUUUUUGUAAAGCUUCCCUCUCAAUCUUGCAUCCUUGUGUCACAAAUCAUCUCAGACACUUGUCUCCACCCACUCCACCACGCUGCCUGCACUCUGUACUCCACCUCUUUUGUAGAUCACCCAUUGCUUUUUGUAUGGCUGACCCCAGGUAUUUAUAUUCAUCCACCUUCUCUAUUCCUUGCAUCUUCACCAUUACACCUGUCUCACCGUUAUUCACAGAUAAUUCAUUUAUACAUUAUAUAAAUUUUUUCAAAUGGGUCAAUGGGCUGCGGGAGAAAUUUUAGAGGAACAAAAAUUCCAAUGUUUGUGUCAUAUGAGUGUCUGUUUCUCCUAUGAAAAUGACUGAAAUGUAAUUAUUUUCCCUCUAUUAUCAGUCAUGGGUCGUCCUUUCACUAUUUUCCUUAUCUGAGUUAAAAUCUGUUAAAAUGCAUUUUCACUAUUUCUCUCUCUCUCUCUGUUACUCAGACGACCUCUCUUGGAUAAACACUGGUUUACUGGUUCCCAUACUGGUGAGCUGUACACUGGGACUUGUUUUCAUUGUCACCUUGAUGUGCUGCAUAUUAAGGCAAAAAAGAGUUGCUGCUGGACGAGACAAAGGCAUGCAUGUUGGAUACAAUACUGGAGACAAGGACGAGUAUGGCUCAAGAGUAUAACUCCUUGUUCUGAAUCACACUUCAAAGGAGCUCAGAAACUUCAACAUCCUUAAGACUUUUGUCCCUUUGCAUCACUCACUUUAUUUAUUUUUUGCCCCAUGGGUCACUUUGGAGAUUUAUAAAGGCAUGCAAGGUUUAAUCACAUCACAUGAUAAAGUUUGCGUGUGGCUCUAGGGUUUUGGGAAGUACUUUUUUCUCUCAAGCCACAAUCUGGAGUCCUUUUGCUGUGUUGUGGCAGGCAGAAGAUGGUAGGCCUUCAUGCUGGAUGUUUUAAACUGCAUGCAAGAGGAACAGCUGUCCUCUUUAAUUCCACUUUAUUUAUCUGACAUGAUGUGGUGUGUUUCCUAAGGAGAGCUUCACACAGAGUCUACCAGGCAAGAGCCAAGAGCUGAACUGGUGAAAAUCUCAGGUCAAGUCAGAUCAUGGCACCCAUUCCCUAGGGCUGUCCCGGCAUGGUGGAAAGCCCAACCACAGUUCAAACAAUAGGGGGAUAGGAUUUGACAGACAUCUCUGAUGAUAGGAUGGCCCUAGAGGGAUGGGCUAUACCACAAUUCCAACAACCCUGUACUUACAGUUGCUUUAUGGAUUUCAUAAUAAAAGGGUGCUUAGCUUCAUUCAAACACAGCUCCUUCAUUGUGAAAAAUGUUGAGGAAAAAAAGGCUUUUGUGUUUCCAGCCACUCGUGGGCUGACCCCUAACCCUCUGUCCGGCAGUCGGAUCACAAGACUAACUCCCCAGCACUCCUGAUAGCUUCUUAGUUGGCCUGUAGGCUGUACAGUUAACCACAGGACUGCUGGAAAGUUAACAUGUUAUCCUCAUCAGGUUUCCCUUAGCCUUUCUUCAUGCCAUUCUUUUGUAUAAUUUGAGAUGAGUUAUUGCUUUGUGUAUUUUACAGACGUAGUCAGUUCCAUCUUCCUGCAGUAGUAAUGACCAUGUGGAGCUGUUAAUCCCUGGUUAAAGCGUGUUUGUCUGGUGAAAGCUGUAAUGUGUGGAGGUGAUGGAUGAACUGGAAAUUAUAUCAGAAUGUUUAGACUGAUUAAAAAGCCUGUGCAAAUGAGAAGUACAAUCUUAAAGCAAAAUAAGCAUGAGGUGAUUCGUUUUGUCACAAUAAAAUGCUCCCUCAGUGUGCCAGGUCUUUAACACAUUAAUAUAUUUUUUCUUGUAAUUGUUACUCAUUUAUUUAUUUUGUCUGCUCAUCAAAUUUUAUUCUUGUUAUACUGUUUUGUUUUGUUUGGGAUUUUAAAAAUAAAUGCACCAUUACAUGUGUCAAGAUGUGGCAAAUGGUAUGUUUGUCAUAGUGAGCUAUACAGUUUUUUGUGUACAACAAAUGCAGACAAAACUCAUCAUUAAAA